Molecule: long non-coding RNA, 1453 nt
Organism: Sycon ciliatum
Lineage: Eukaryota; Metazoa; Porifera; Calcarea; Leucosolenida; Sycettidae
Exons: 2
Source: RefSeq, a predicted model, not a curated record
CACCACAGCACAGCCCCUACUACUCACUAGCCCGGUCGGCGAUGCGGUAUGAUAAGUCGUGUUGAGUGAAUCAUUUCAGCGCAGCCCAGUGUUCGCAGGUGUAGCUCACAAAUUUUCAGAUUGAACGAAAGCGACAUUUUAGCAAUAACACAGAAUGUGCCUCGAGCUACUGAAGUUCCUUCUAGCCUUGUGUGAUAAGUCGUGUUGAGUGAAUCAUUUCAGCGCAGCCCAGUGUUCGCAGGUGUAGCUCACAAAUUUUCAGAUUGAACGAAAGCGACAUGUUAGCAAUAACACAGAAUGUGCCUCGAGCUACUGAAGUUCCUUCUGGCCUUGUGUGAUAAGUCGUGUUGAGUGAAUCAAUUCAGCGCAGCCCACUGUUCGCAGGUGUAGUGUUCGCAGGUACUAGUGCAGCUCACAAAUUUUCAGAUUGAACGAAAGCGACAUUUUAGGGAUAACACAGAAUGUGCCGCGAACUACUGAAGUUCCUUCUGUCCUUAUGUCUUAUAAAUAUUGAGGAUGUGCGACCCGAGACUAAAUACAUGUUGAACGUUCGUCGUAGCCAUCCACUUGUUUCUUCAACGUAGUGAGCAGUGUAUAUGUAUACCAUUUCAGUUCGGCCUGCUACAAUGCUUCGUUGGCUGUGCAAACUCUGGUCUUUUCCUGCCGGCCUGCGGCAUUUACUUCUUCUUGUCGGACUAUGCCAGUUGCUAUUCACGGUCAGUGCUUGUGCGGCGGACACAGACGAGACUGCCCCGUCAAGGCAACAUUCGCUCAGCGACGACAUCGUGCACGGCAUCGUUCUCGCGACCACUACGAUCAACUUCGCACUGGCGAUGAAUUGCCUUCGUGUACGGGGGAGGCUCGUGGUACGUUUUCUACCGUCUCUCCUGGUCGCCGCUGUUGGCUGUGCUGCGAUAUCGUUCUACAGCCACGACGUGCUUCAAUAUCAGUUUACCUAUCUAGUUCUGAAUUUGCUGAUCUAUUAUCAAGGACAUGACGCGUAAGUGAAUUAUGAAUAGAAAUUCAACUACCGCCCGAGUUCUUGAGCUGAUCCAACUAGUUACUUGAUUCUAUCUGGGUGCGUUUUGGAUACUCUCUGCAGCUGUACGCAGAUUAUGUGAAUGAGCAAACGGUUUUGUAUUGCCCGCCGUAUCUUAUCCAUACUUGUUUUGCACUCGAAACCCAUGUAGUGUCCAAAUAAUUCAACAAUGUAGUCGUUUAGUACGUCUUGGUCUCUGUCUCUCCGUCUUCCCAAUCAAUGUUGUUCGACCUAAGCUGUUCCCGUUUUCCAUUGUAAUGUCUUUCUGUUCCUACUCAAGAUGCUCAUAGGUCAAUUUCGACUGAUGAAGCUGCUUGUUGCGUCCUAAAAGAUUUCCUUAAAAUUAUUAUAGCAAUAAUAAGGAUCAACCGUGCACUCAUUCUAUAAACACAUAGAGGCAAAGUUGCUGAGUAA